RNAcentral lists this transfer RNA (72 nucleotides) under Sphaerodactylus townsendi. RNAcentral's name for it is "tRNA-Thr". It matches the Rfam family "tRNA". Rfam says of the family: Transfer RNA (tRNA) molecules are approximately 80 nucleotides in length. Their secondary structure includes four short double-helical elements and three loops (D, anti-codon, and T loops). Lineage: Eukaryota; Metazoa; Chordata; Lepidosauria; Squamata; Sphaerodactylidae. The record is from RNAcentral.
GGAGUUGCUGCUCAGUGGUAGAGCAUCUGGUUGGUAUGCAGAAGUCCCCAGGUUCGAUCCCAGGCACCUCCA